GCUUGUGCUGGAGACAGUGACACGGCAGAGCCCUGUCACAAACCAACAGGAGGCCCUCAGCUGAGCGUUUCAGAAAGAGCUUAACUGCUGAUGAAUUAUACCAAUUUUUCUUUUAGAAAAGGAUGGAAGUAACAAGAAAAUAGAAAUGAGGAGCUUAAAGAAGGCCAGAAAGCCCAUUAGCACUUUUGACAGAUCCAAAGAUAACUCUGAAGCCACCAAAACGUGGCCUCAAGAGUCUGCCAAGAAGCUUCACGCUGAGGAGAAAUAUGUUACACAGCUUGCCGUCCAAAUAGGGAGACACAGCGUCAGAGACAAAUCCUGUGCCUUAUUUUGGUGGGAGAAAAAAAAUCACAAGGAUACUUUUGUGGAGGGGGAAGGGUGUAUUUCUGAAAUAAGACACCAUUUGACUGAGGCAGACCCCCAUUCCCAGUCAAGAUCGGAGUGACUCAGGUGCUUGAUCCAAAAACUCUACACAGGAUGGUCUGCCAGCCGAGUUUAUUUGUGAAACUGACCUCCUGUGUGGCUGUCAGAAUGGCCUAUCAAAAAUGGAAGUCUGGAUGGAUCUUCCAGAGAGGGUAAAGCUGCACAGGCAGCCAGCGAUGUGCAGCCUGAGGUUUCUUCCCCCAGCCCUUCUUGACUUCCUGGCACUCAACUCCUCUGAUGACAAAAAAGACAAAGUGAACAGGCUUCCAACUUCCGGUGUUCUUGUUGGAGUUGGGGAGACAGUCCAUAAGGGAGCAGAAUGGCAGCCAGUUUUCUUGCUCCAUUACAUAUCUUCACUUCUAUGAUGACCCAGUUCCCAGACAAGCCCCCAUAUGAAAUGGGUUGGUAAAGCUGUCUGCAGUAACCCCUGACCCCCAACACUCUUCUUGAGGAAAAAGAAGAAGAGGAGGAGGAGGAAGAAGAAGAGGAGGAAAAAGAAAGUAAACAAU
Molecule: long non-coding RNA, 932 nt
Organism: Peromyscus maniculatus bairdii (prairie deer mouse)
Lineage: Eukaryota; Metazoa; Chordata; Mammalia; Rodentia; Cricetidae
Source: RefSeq, a predicted model, not a curated record